GACGAACGCUGGCGGCGCGCUUAGCACAUGCAAGUCGAACGGAAAGGCCUGCUUUCCCUUGUGGAUUGCGGGUACUCGAGUGGCGAACGGGUGAGUAACACGUGAGUGAUCUGCCCCCAACUUGGGUAUAAGCCUGGGAAACUGGGUCUAAUUCCCGAUAGGACUGCAGGGUGGUGCCUGUGGUGGAAAACGAUUUUCUAGUGGUUGGGGAUGAGCUCGCGGCCUAUCAGCUUGUUGGUGGGGUAAUGGCCUACCAAGGCGGCGACGGGUAGCCGGCCUGGGAGGGUGGACGGCCACAUUGGGACUGAGAUACGGCCCAGACUCCUACGGGAGGCAGCAGUGGGGAAUAUUGCACAAUGGGCGGAAGCCUGAUGCAGCGACGCCGCGUGGGGGAUGACGGCCUUCGGGUUGUAAACUCCUUUCGACCGCGAGGAAGCCACCUGGUUGGAAGGGUGGUGACGGUAGUGGUAGAAGAAGCGCCGGCUAACUACGUGC
This 495-nucleotide ribosomal RNA is filed under the name uncultured bacterium. Its description in RNAcentral is "partial 16S ribosomal RNA". It matches the Rfam family "Bacterial small subunit ribosomal RNA", at positions 28 to 508 of the family's 1533-position model. The record is from RNAcentral.